GAUGAACGCUGGCGGCGUGCCUAAUACAUGCAAGUCGAGCGAACAGACGAGGAGCUUGCUCCUCUGACGUUAGCGGUGGACGGGUGAGUAACACGUGGAUAACCUACCUAUAAGACUGGGAUAACUUCGGGAAACCGGAGCUAAUACCGGAUAACAUGUUGAACCGCAUGGUUCAACAGUGAAUGACGGUCUUGCUGUCACUUAUAGAUGGAUCCGCGCCGCAUUAGCUCGUUGGUAAGGUAACGGCUGACCAAGGCAACGAUGCGUAGCCGACCUGAGAGGGUGAUCGGCCACACUGGAACUGAGACACGGUCCAGACUCCUACGGGAGGCAGCAGUAGGGAAUCUUCCGCAAUGGGCGAAAGCCUGACGGAGCAACGCCGCGUGAGUGAAGAAGGUCUUCGGAUCGUAAAACUCUGUUAUUAGGGAAGAACAAAUGUGUAAGUAACUAUGCACGUCUUGACGGUACCUAAUCAGAAAGCCACGGCUAACUACGUGCCAGCCGCCGCGGUAA
Molecule: ribosomal RNA, 513 nt
Filed under: uncultured bacterium
Lineage: Bacteria
Description: partial 16S ribosomal RNA
Rfam family: Bacterial small subunit ribosomal RNA
Source: RNAcentral